UACGUAGGUGGCAAGCGAUACUCGGAAUCACUAGGCGUAAAGCGCAGGUAGGCGGUUUGGUAAGUCUUUUGUGAAAGCUCCCGGCUUAACUGGGAGAGGUCAAGGGAAACUACUAGACUAGAGUGUGGUAGGGGAUACUGGAAUUCCUGGUGUAGCGGUGAAAUGCGUAGAUAUCAGGAGGAACAUCAGUGGCGAAGGCGGCCUUCUGGUCCAGUACUGACACUCAAGUGCGAAAGCGUGGGGAGCAAACAGG
Molecule: ribosomal RNA, 253 nt
Filed under: uncultured bacterium
Lineage: Bacteria
Description: partial 16S ribosomal RNA
Rfam family: Bacterial small subunit ribosomal RNA
Source: RNAcentral